Molecule: ribosomal RNA, 465 nt
Filed under: uncultured bacterium
Lineage: Bacteria
Description: partial 16S ribosomal RNA
Rfam family: Bacterial small subunit ribosomal RNA
Source: RNAcentral
GCCAGACUCCUACGGGAGGCAGCAGUGAGGAAUAUUGGUCAAUGGGCGCGAGCCUGAACCAGCCAAGUCGCGUGAGGGAUGACGGCCCUACGGGUUGUAAACCUCUUUUGCCGGGGAGCAAGCGUGCGUUCGUGAACGCGCGUCGAGAGUACCCGGAGAAAAAGCAUCGGCUAACUCCGUGCCAGCAGCCGCGGUAAUACGGAGGAUGCGAGCGUUAUCCGGAUUUAUUGGGUUUAAAGGGUGCGUAGGCGGGAUGCCAAGUCAGCGGUAAAAAUGCGGUGCUCAACGCCGGCGAGCCGUUGAAACUGGCGUUCUUGAGUGGGCGAGAAGUAUGCGGAAUGCGUGGUGUAGCGGUGAAAUGCAUAGAUAUCACGCAGAACUCCGAUUGCGAAGGCAGCAUACCGGCGCUCAACUGACGCUGAGGCACGAAAGCGUGGGGAUCGAACAGGAUUAGAUACCCGAGUA